Molecule: ribosomal RNA, 497 nt
Filed under: uncultured bacterium
Lineage: Bacteria
Description: partial 16S ribosomal RNA
Rfam family: Bacterial small subunit ribosomal RNA
Source: RNAcentral
GACGAACGCUGGCGGCGUGCCUAAUACAUGCAAGUAGAACGCUGAAGAGAGGAGCUUGCUCUUCUUGGAUGAGUUGCGAACGGGUGAGUAACGCGUAGGUAACCUGCCUUGUAGCGGGGGAUAACUAUUGGAAACGAUAGCUAAUACCGCAUAACACUGGAUGACCCAUGUCAUUUAUUUGAAAGGGGCAAAUGCUCCACUACAAGAUGGACCUGCGUUGUAUUAGCUAGUAGGUGAGGUAACGGCUCACCUAGGCGACGAUACAUAGCCGACCUGAGAGGGUGAUCGGCCACACUGGGACUGAGACACGGCCCAGACUCCUACGGGAGGCAGCAGUAGGGAAUCUUCGGCAAUAGGGGCAACCCUGACCGAGCAACGCCGCGUGAGUGAAGAAGGUUUUCGGAUCGUAAAGCUCUGUUGUAAGUCAAGAACGAGUGUGAGAGUGGAAAGUUCACACUGUGACGGUAGCUUACCAGAAAGGGACGGCUAACUACGUG